GGUUAGUACGUUACCUGUACGCUUCAAAUUCUGAUAAAAUAACUUUAAAACGGCGAAUUCGAGGUAGGUGUUGUUUUAUUUUGGAUUAUAUAGUAGUAAUCGAACAUUUGUUGAUUUAAUCAUUUCAAAAUGGUUGUCCCUCCUUAGUUACGCCUGGUCAACUGUGGAUUUGACGGCAACUUUUAGCCAAUGAAAAAAAUUGUUACAUACAAAUUGCAUUAGAACUAUUUAUUUAC
RNAcentral lists this long non-coding RNA (236 nucleotides) under Mytilus galloprovincialis (Mediterranean mussel). Lineage: Eukaryota; Metazoa; Mollusca; Bivalvia; Mytilida; Mytilidae. The record is from RNAcentral.